Molecule: ribosomal RNA, 492 nt
Filed under: uncultured bacterium
Lineage: Bacteria
Description: partial 16S ribosomal RNA
Rfam family: Bacterial small subunit ribosomal RNA
Source: RNAcentral
AGUGAACGCUGGCGGUAGGCCUAACACAUGCAAGUCGAACGGCAGCACAGUAAGAGCUUGCUCUUACGGGUGGCGAGUGGCGGACGGGUGAGGAAUACAUCGGAAUCUACUUUUUCGCGGGGGAUAACGUAGGGAAACUUACGCUAAUACCGCAUACGACCUACGGGUGAAAGCAGGGGAUCUUCGGACCUUGCGCGAUUGCAUGAGCCGAUGUCGGAUUAGCUAGUUGGCGGGGUAAAGGCCCACCAAGGCGACGAUCCGUAGCUGGUCUGAGAGGAUGAUCAGCCACACUGGAACUGAGACACGGUCCAGACUCCUACGGGAGGCAGCAGUGGGGAAUAUUGGACAAUGGGCGCAAGCCUGAUCCAGCCAUACCGCGUGGGUGAAGAAGGCCUUCGGGUUGUAAAGCCCUUUUGUUGGGAAAGAAAAGCAGCAGGUUAAUACCCCGCUGUUCUGACGGUACCCAAAGAAUAAGCACCGGCUAACUUCGUG